UACAGAGGGUGCGAGCGUUGUUCGGAAUUAUUGGGCGUAAAGCGAGUGUAGGCGGGAUUGCAAGUCGGGUGUGAAAGCCCUCAGCUCAACUGAGGAAGUGCGCCCGAAACUGCAGUUCUUGAGUGUCGGAGAGGGUGGCGGAAUUCCCGGUGUAGAGGUGAAAUUCGUAGAUAUCGGGAGGAACACCAGUGGCGAAGGCGGCCACCUGGACGAACACUGACGCUGAGACUCGAAAGCGUGGGGAGCAAACAGG
This 253-nucleotide unclassified non-coding RNA is filed under the name uncultured Myxococcales bacterium. RNAcentral's name for it is "contains 16S-23S intergenic spacer region". It matches the Rfam family "Bacterial small subunit ribosomal RNA", at positions 524 to 776 of the family's 1533-position model. The record is from RNAcentral. Lineage: Bacteria; Pseudomonadati; Myxococcota; Myxococcia; Myxococcales.